RNAcentral lists this ribosomal RNA (1490 nucleotides) under metagenome. RNAcentral describes it as "bacterial SSU rRNA". It matches the Rfam family "Bacterial small subunit ribosomal RNA". The record is from RNAcentral.
AGAGUUUGAUCCUGGCUCAGGAUGAACGCUGGCGGCGUGCCUAACACAUGCAAGUCGAGCGAGAAGUUAUUUAUGGAUCUUUCGGGAAAAGUAGAUAAUGGAAAGCGGCGGACGGGUGAGUAACGCGUGGGCAACCUGCCCUGUACAGAGGGAUAGCUACUGGAAACGGUGAUUAAUACCUCAUAAGACCACAGUAAUGCGUUUUACAGUGGUAAAAACUCCGGUGGUACAGGAUGGGCCCGCGUCUGAUUAGCUAGUUGGUAAGGUAAUGGCUUACCAAGGCGACGAUCAGUAGCCGACCUGAGAGGGUGAUCGGCCACACUGGAACUGAGACACGGUCCAGACUCCUACGGGAGGCAGCAGUGGGGAAUAUUGCACAAUGGGGGAAACCCUGAUGCAGCAACGCCGCGUGAGUGAAGAAGGCUUUCGGGUCGUAAAGCUCUGUCCUAAGGGAAGAAUAAAUGACGGUACCUUAGGAGGAAGCCCCGGCUAACUACGUGCCAGCAGCCGCGGUAAUACGUAGGGGGCGAGCGUUAUCCGGAAUCACUGGGCGUAAAGGGUGCGUAGGCGGCCUAACAAGUCAGAAGUGAAAGGCUAUGGCUCAACCAUAGUAAGCUUCUGAAACUGUUAGGCUUGAGUUCAGGAGAGGAAAGUGGAAUUCCUAGUGUAGCGGUGAAAUGCGUAGAUAUUAGGAGGAACACCAGUGGCGAAGGCGACUUUCUGGACUGUAACUGACGCUGAGGCACGAAAGCGUGGGUAGCGAACAGGAUUAGAUACCCUGGUAGUCCACGCCGUAAACGAUGAAUACUAGGUGUUGGGGGGUAGCCUUCAGUGCCGGAGUAAACACAUUAAGUAUUCCGCCUGGGGAGUACGGUCGCAAGACUGAAACUCAAAGGAAUUGACGGGGACCCGCACAAGCAGCGGAGCAUGUGGUUUAAUUCGAAGCAACGCGAAAGACCUUACCAGGUCUUGACAUCUCACUGCCGUAUACUUAACCGUGUAUUUCUCUUCGGAGACGGUGAAGACAGGUGGUGCAUGGUUGUCGUCGGCUCGUGUCGUGAGAUGUUGGGUUAAGUCCCGCAACGAGCGCAACCCUUGUCUUUAGUUGCCAUCAGGUAAUGCUGGGCUCUCUAGAGAGACUGCCGGUGACAAACCGGAGGAAGGUGGGGAUGACGUCAAAUCAUCAUGCCCCUUAUGAUCUGGGCUACACACGUGCUACAAUGGUCGAAACAGAGGGAAGCUAAGGAGUAAUCUGGAGCGAAUCCCCAAAAUCGAUCUCAGUUCGGAUUGCGGGCUGCAACUCGCCCGCAUGAAGUUGGAGUUGCUAGUAAUCGCGAAUCAGCAUGUCGCGGUGAAUGCGUUCCCGGGUCUUGUACACACCGCCCGUCACACCAUGGAAGCUGGGGGCACCCGAAGCCGGUGAUCCAACCCGUAAGGGAGGAAGCUGUCGAAGGUGAAAUCAGUGACUAGGGUGAAGUCGUAACAAGGUA